Long non-coding RNA from Octopus sinensis (East Asian common octopus), 955 nucleotides. RefSeq lists it as uncharacterized. Lineage: Eukaryota; Metazoa; Mollusca; Cephalopoda; Octopoda; Octopodidae. The record is from RefSeq and is a predicted model, not a curated record. The transcript has 2 exons.
CUAAACGCACCUAAGAUGUCAAAACGGCUGGUAACGAGUUAAGACUACCACCUAAGUAGGUCAUAGCAGGAUUUGAACGCAGAAUGCAAAGAGAUGGAACAAAUACCGCAUGGCAUCCAGUCUGAUGUGCUAACAGUUCUGUCAAAACACUACAUUGGUGUUUUUUAUUAACUACGAAAGGACAAAAGGCAAAGUUGACCUCGGUAGGGUUAGAACUCAGGGCUCAGGGAGCAUAUCGUAAAGCAUUUCGUCAGAUUCCUAUUGUAAGGCCACUUUGUCACUUUACAAGGUGAAUGCUGAAGGUACCAAAAGGACCAAAUGGCGGUAUUAAAUCGGGCGAUGGAGGAAAUCUAUCACUCAAACAAAAAUAGUGAUGCAAUGGCAGAUAUAAGGAAAGGAAGACAGAGAGAGAUGUCGCGGAAAUACUUCGAUGAUAUACUUCUCAGGACUAUGAAAAAUAUCGUCUUUAAAUGGUGAAAUAGAACACUAGCUCAUUAUUCGAAGUCGAAUAUUACACCGUCGUUGAACUGUCUUUUCUUAUUGCGUGCAAUUCUAAAUAUCUAUUGACUGUUUACGAACUGCAUUUAUGGAGACCGAUGUCAUUAUUAUACGUUUCUAGAAAUUCAACAGAUUCAUGAAAAUAUUUUGACUUCAGGCUACUAAUUUAGGUAUUUCUUUGAUUGCUAAGCAAAUUGCAUGGCCAACAUGAUUUUCUCUGGAAUUAAUGGCUACGUACAAAGUGUAAAAACAAACUACAUAGAACUACAACAACUCUAUAUCUUAAAACACGUAUCAAUCAUUUCCGUUUUAACUUUGUUAGCCAGACAUCUUUCCCAUCAAACAAUUAAUCUGCCAUUUCCUUACUAUUAUUGUUGGUUUUUUUAUUAGUGUAACUGGAUUCAGACCAAUAAAGCGACUAAUAUGAUAUCUAAAAUGACUGAAAUACCAAAGUGAA